This is a long non-coding RNA of Eurytemora carolleeae, 283 nucleotides long. RefSeq lists it as uncharacterized. The transcript has 3 exons. NCBI's taxonomy places the organism in Eukaryota, Metazoa, Arthropoda, Copepoda, Calanoida, Temoridae. The record is from RefSeq and is a predicted model, not a curated record.
UUUAGGGUCAAACAGUACAAAUUGCUCAGCUACCUCAAGGCCAAUAUGUUCAAAUCAUCCAUCCUAUGCAAGCUCAGAUCCAUCACGAAUCUGAAGGAAGUAGCGUGGAUAAAUCUCAACCCAGUCCCAAGCAGAGAUAGUUAAAUUGUAUCAGACAUAAAUGGGACUGUAUCAGCGUGUUUUCAAGGUCACUUGAAACUACGCGUACAGUCCCUUUAAUUAGUCCCUUUUAAUACGUUCUCUUCUAAACAAACAAGAUAAAGAUAAGAAUGUAAAAACGACU